This 507-nucleotide ribosomal RNA is filed under the name uncultured Cenococcum. RNAcentral's name for it is "eukaryotic LSU rRNA". The stretch from base 198 to 351 matches the Rfam family "5.8S ribosomal RNA". The record is from RNAcentral. Lineage: Eukaryota; Fungi; Ascomycota; Dothideomycetes; Gloniales; Gloniaceae.
AGGAAGUAAAAGUCGUAACAAGGUUUCCGUAGGUGAACCUGCGGAAGGAUCAUUACAGAGAAAGUAAACGCGGAUCAAACCGCGAACUUCUAAACCUUUGACGAUUGACUCAUGUUGCCUCGGCGGGUUCUCCCGCCAGAGGAUACAUCAAAACUCCUGUUUUAACGGUGUUGUCUGAGCUACAAGCAACGAAUCAAAACUUUCAACAACGGAUCUCUUGGUUCUGGCAUCGAUGAAGAACGCAGCGAAAUGCGAUAAGUAGUGUGAAUUGCAGAAUUCAGUGAAUCAUCGAAUCUUUGAACGCACAUUGCGCCCCUUGGUAUCCCGAGGGGCAUGCCUGUUCGAGCGUCAUUUCACCACUCAAGCCUAGCUUGGUGUUGGGCGACGUCCCCUUUGGGGACGCGCCUCGAAACGCUCGGCGGCGUGGCACCGGCUUUAAGCGUAGCAGAAUCUUUCGCUUCAAAAGUCGGGGCCCCGUUUGCCGGAAGACCUACUCGCAAGGUGACC